GAACAAGUAGCAUAGGGGUAAUGCGGUGGUGAGACAGGUUCUCGGAAAUCCGGCAGACGUUGGUUCGAUUCCAACCUUGUUCA
This 83-nucleotide transfer RNA is filed under the name Bacteroidaceae bacterium. Its description in RNAcentral is "tRNA-OTHER". It matches the Rfam family "tRNA". From Rfam's summary of the family: Transfer RNA (tRNA) molecules are approximately 80 nucleotides in length. Their secondary structure includes four short double-helical elements and three loops (D, anti-codon, and T loops). The record is from RNAcentral. Lineage: Bacteria; Pseudomonadati; Bacteroidota; Bacteroidia; Bacteroidales; Bacteroidaceae.